AUUUUGAUUUUCAGACAUUGGAUUCUUGGACUGCAAAGAGUAGAAGAGUACAAGGAAUCUGAUGCAAGCUUGAGUGAUUUGAGUGUUCUCUAGCAUUUGGUUGAUUUAUUGUAUUUUUAAAAAAAAUAAAAAUGGAGAGGGGAGUUGAUUUUUGGGCCUCUCCUAAAGGUCAAAUGGAGGGUGUUGCGUCGUUUGAUGCUAGUACAAGGUCUUCAAAUGUUGAUUCAUUCAACAAUGUUAUGGAGAUUAUGAAUCUAGAUGCUUAUGCGG
RNAcentral lists this unclassified non-coding RNA (270 nucleotides) under Hevea brasiliensis (rubber tree). Lineage: Eukaryota; Viridiplantae; Streptophyta; Magnoliopsida; Malpighiales; Euphorbiaceae. The record is from RNAcentral.